RNAcentral lists this unclassified non-coding RNA (403 nucleotides) under soil metagenome. RNAcentral's name for it is "partial contains 5.8S ribosomal RNA, internal transcribed spacer 2, and large subunit ribosomal RNA". The stretch from base 1 to 120 matches the Rfam family "5.8S ribosomal RNA", at positions 35 to 154 of the family's 154-position model. The record is from RNAcentral.
GAUGAAGAACGUAGCGAAAUGCGAUAAGUAAUGUGAAUUGCAGAAUUCAGUGAAUCAUCGAAUCUUUGAACGCACCUUGCGCCCUUUGGACUUCUGAAGGGCAUGCCUGUUUGAGUAUCAUGAACACCUCAACUCCUUAUGGUCUUCCAUGAUGAGCUUGGACUUUGGGGGUUUUGCUGGCCUACAGUCAGCUCCUCUAAAAUAAAUCAGCUUACCGGUGUUUGGUGGGUAUCAUGGGUGUGAUAACUAUCUACGCUCGUGGUUUUCCACCAGGUAACCUUCAGCAGUGGAGGUUCACUGGAGCUCAUAGAUGUCUCUCCUCAGCGAAGACAGCCCUUUGAAUGUUUGAUCUCAAAUCAGGUAGGACUACCCGCUGAACUUAAGCAUAUCAAUAAGCGGAGGA